GACGAACGCUGGCGGCGUGCUUAACACAUGCAAGUCGAACGGAAAGGCCCUGCUUUUGUGGGGUGCUCGAGUGGCGAACGGGUGAGUAACACGUGAGUAACCUGCCCUUGACUUUGGGAUAACUUCAGGAAACUGGGGCUAAUACCGGAUAGGAGCUCCUGCUGCAUGGUGGGGGUUGGAAAGUUUCGGCGGUUGGGGAUGGACUCGCGGCUUAUCAGCUUGUUGGUGGGGUAGUGGCUUACCAAGGCUUUGACGGGUAGCCGGCCUGAGAGGGUGACCGGCAGAAUGGGGACGGAGAUGCGGCCGGGACUCCUGCGGGGGGCGGAAGGGGGGAUUUGGGAACAUGGGGCGGAAGCUGGAUGCAGCAACCCCGGGGGGGGGAGGAGGGCCGUCGGUUGGAAAGCCGGUUUCGCCGGUAAAGAAGGGUGAGGGAGGGAAAGGGGUAGAAAGGACCGGCAAAAUAAGGUC
RNAcentral lists this ribosomal RNA (468 nucleotides) under uncultured bacterium. Its description in RNAcentral is "partial 16S ribosomal RNA". It matches the Rfam family "Bacterial small subunit ribosomal RNA", at positions 28 to 493 of the family's 1533-position model. The record is from RNAcentral.